Ornithorhynchus anatinus (platypus) is the source of this 2015-nucleotide long non-coding RNA. RefSeq lists it as uncharacterized. NCBI's taxonomy places the organism in Eukaryota, Metazoa, Chordata, Mammalia, Monotremata, Ornithorhynchidae. The transcript is spliced from 5 exons. The record is from RefSeq and is a predicted model, not a curated record.
CCUGUCCAGGCUCUGGAAUGCUCAGGGGAAUACUUACUGCACAACAGUCCCUCCUUCUCUGCCACAAGUCCAGUUGGUGAGGAGAGUCGCCAAAAGAGAAGCAAAGUAGCACUUCAUGCUGGAUUACUGCAACACAAGUCCCAAUUGGAAGCUACCCACAGUGUCUCACUGAAAAGCUGACAAGGCUCCAUUAGAUCACAUUGUUUCUCCUGGUUUGACUCCUACAUCUUCAACCAAAUGAAGAGGACUGCGUGUGGGGUCUUCCGGUCCAAGGAAUGACACAAUGAUACCAAAUGUUUGGAGUUCCUGUUUCCCCCUCCCAGAAAAUGAGACAGCUACCUUUUGUACGAAAUGAAGAGACAGCCUCACUGACAAGUGUGAACACCACUGCUAAAUAGGGAUCGGCAAGUUGACCAAUUCACUAUUGGCUGGAUCCAGGCCCAGGCCCACACUCCCAUCGAGCUCUCCAAGCAUUUCCACAAACUGAUCUGAUCGACUCAUCUGAUCAACUGAAAAGACCUAAAUGAUCCGAUCCCCGAUGAGCCAUCUGCUAGUCUAUAAUCUGCUAGCCAAGCCUAAGGUUCAGCAAAGUCUCAGCCAACCCCCAGAAGUAAUGUGGAAAAAUGUGAAGGAGGAAUCGCCAGCAGAAGUAACGGGAGAAAUUGUUUUCACUCAUGGACAGAGAAAUGGUGGCAAUUAUAGUGUGUCAAAAAUGUGUGGCUUAAUAUUACACUGCAAAGAUCUGAAAUAUUGUUUCUCUUUUUUCAAAUUUUUGUUCUAAUAAUACUGACGAAUGGAAACGAGGCCAAAACUCAGCUUGCAGAUGAAGAAGAAGAAGAUCUUGAGUAAAAACUUUCAAAUAAAUCUCAAAGAGGAGCAUUUCGUUACCAGUCUUUGAAAAGCCUAAGAUGGGUGCAGGAAAAAAGGCAGGACAGAGGUGGCCCCAAAUGAAUUUUCAGAUAAAGCCAUAUGGUAACAGAACACGAUAUAAACCCAUAAUGGGAAAAUGGAAUUUUGCAAGCAACAGCAGAAAUACUAACAUAUCCCAGGGCUACCUUGGAAUAUGGCGCUGGAUAUCAUGAUGCCAAGUCACUCACGCCCCUUGCAUUAGCGGUGCCAACUGCAGGUUUCAUCCCCAAGAGCCUCUACAAUAAAAGGAUCUCCUUUAGAAACAGGGAAAAUACUGUUCUGCAUCAGACUUUGGAGAGAGAUUACGGAAGACGAUGUCCAUGGAGCCAGGCUUCACUGCCGCCAAACUAAACUCCAGCCACUUCCAGACAUGGAGGCCAAGGGUCCUGGUUUCUGCUCUGGGACCGGCCAACUGGAUUGGGGGGUCCUGCCUCUUCCCAUCCUCCAAGGCUAAAGGAGUCGAGGAGAUUUUCGUUUUCACCAUCUGAAGAAGAACCUGAUCCACCGUGGACGUUCGUGAGAAGAGAAGCAUUUCUGUUGAGUGAUCUUCAAAGAAGUCUAGUCCACCAAUUGGCAUUCUCACGUAGUCUACAGUAAAGCACUCGGUUAGACACGUCAUGCUCUCCGCUGAGACCUUUUGUCCCAGCACGCACUUUGGGCCCGUGACUUACACUGAUGUUUCGAAAAGAGGUGUACACUAGAACCCCUCAGAUACAUGAUUUCAUAUAACGCGUGGCUGUUGUUCCAUGACAACAAAAGCCUGUGGAUGAUGAAAAAAUACUCUUCUGUUCAAAAAUCAUUACAACUGGUCUGUCAGUUUGUAACGAAUCCUAAAAUUACACCAAACAUUUAUUAACACAAUUAAGUUAAAUUUCUUGAUAUUAGAACAUUGAACAGUUCAAACUACAUAAAGAAUAUGACAAACAUUAGAAAGAAGAACAUUAUGGAAGAGAUCCAUUAAUAACCAUUACUUAAAAAAUACAACUAUCAUUUAUAUUGCAAUAAAGCAACAGUGCAGCUUACCACAGAUUUCAGGAAACCAGAUCAAGUGCUUAUAACGGAGUGGGAUCAUUAACUAAAACCAGUACAAUCCCAAACACAAAAAA